CGAACGAAGCAUAGGAGUGGAAUUUUUCGGAAGGAAACAACUAUGACUGAGUGGCGGACGGGUGAGUAACGCGUGGGUAACCUGCCUCAUAUAGGGGGAUAACAGUUAGAAAUGACUGCUAAUACCGCAUAAGCGCACAAAACCGCAUGGUUUGGUGUGAAAAACUGAGGUGGUAUGAGAUGGACCCGCGUCUGAUUAGCUAGUUGGAGAGGUAACGGCUCACCAAGGCAACGAUCAGUAGCCGACCUGAGAGGGUGACCGGCCACAUUGGGACUGAGACACGGCCCAAACUCCUACGGGAGGCAGCAGUGGGGAAUAUUGCACAAUGGGGGAAACUUUUAUGCAGCAACGCCGCGUGAGUGAAGAAGUAUUUCGGUAUGUAAAGCUCUAUCAGCAAGGAAGAAGAGAGACGGUACCUGACUAAGAAGCCCCGGCUAACUACGUGCCAGCCGCCGCGGUAAUACCUACGGGGCAAGCGUUAUCCGGCUUUACUGGGUGUAAAGGGAGCGUAGACGGCUUGAUUAGUUUGAAGUGAAAGGCCAAGGCUUAACCAUGGAACUGCUUUGGAAACUAUGCGGCUAGAGUGCUGGAGAGGUAAGCGGAAUUCCUAGUGUAGCGGUGAAAUG
This 626-nucleotide ribosomal RNA is filed under the name uncultured bacterium. Its description in RNAcentral is "bacterial SSU rRNA". It matches the Rfam family "Bacterial small subunit ribosomal RNA", at positions 45 to 688 of the family's 1533-position model. The record is from RNAcentral.